ACCCGCUGAACUUAAGCAUAUCAAUAAGCGGAGGAAAAGAAACCAACAAGGAUUGCCUUAGUAACGGCGAGUGAAGCGGCAAAAGCUCAAAUUUGAAAUCGGCCACCAGGUCGAGUUGUAAUUUGUAGAUUGUAUCUUGAGAGCGGAUUAAAGUCUGUUGGAACACAGUGCCUUAGAGGGUGACAGCCCCGUAAAAUCUAUUCUCAUUGUAAGAUACUUUCGAAGAGUCGAGUUGUUUGGGAAUGCAGCUCUAAGUGGGAGGUAAAUUCCUUCUAAAGCUAAAUAUUGACGAGAGACCGAUAGCGAACAAGUACUGUGAAGGAAAGAUGAAAAGCACUUUGAAAAGAGAGUGAAAAAGUACGUGAAAUUGUUAAAAGGGAAGGGUAUUGAAUUAGACUUGGUGCUGUUGUUCAACUGUGUUUCGGCAUAGUGUACUCAGCAGUACUAGGCCAAGGUGGGGUGUUUGGGAGUGAAAAAGAAGUUGGAACGUAACUCUUCGGAGUGUUAUAGCCUACUUUCAUAGCUCCUCAGGCGCCUCAGGACUGCGCUUCGGCAAGGACCUUGGCAUAAUGAUUCUAUACCGCCCGUCUUGAAAUACGGACCAAGGAG
Molecule: ribosomal RNA, 609 nt
Filed under: uncultured fungus
Lineage: Eukaryota; Fungi
Description: eukaryotic LSU rRNA
Rfam family: Eukaryotic large subunit ribosomal RNA
Source: RNAcentral